CACCUUCACAUGGUUUUGGAGAUUGCCCUGGCACCUCUUAAAGAUAAUGGUGAGACCUAUUCUACACGCAAAGUACUCUCUGCGAAGUUGUUUAGCACACACCUUAAAACCUC
Molecule: unclassified non-coding RNA, 113 nt
Filed under: uncultured Synchaetomella
Lineage: Eukaryota; Fungi; Ascomycota; Leotiomycetes; Chaetomellales; Chaetomellaceae
Description: sequence contains ITS2
Source: RNAcentral